UCUACGGGUGGCAGCAGUGGGGGAUAUUGGACAAUGGGGGAAACCCUGAUCCAGCGACGCCGCGUGAGUGAAGAAGUAUUUCGGUAUGUAAAGCUCUGUCAGCAGGGAAGAAAGAAAUGACGGUACCUGCCCAAGAAGCCCCGGCUAACUACGUGCCAGCAGCCGCGGUAAUACGUAGGGGGCAAGCGUUAUCCGGAAUUACUGGGUGUAAAGGGAGCGUAGACGGUGAUGCAAGUCUGGAGUGAAAGGCGGGGGCCCAACCCCCGGACUGCUCUGGAAACUGUGUAACGUGAGUGCAGGAGAGGUAAGCGGAAUUCGUAGUGUAGCGGUGAAAUGCGUAGAUAUUAGGAGGAACACCAGUGGCGAAGGCGGCUUACUGGACUGUAACUGACGUUGAGGCUCGAAAGCGUGGGGAGCAAACAGGAUUAGAUACCCCUGUAGUC
This 443-nucleotide ribosomal RNA is filed under the name uncultured bacterium. RNAcentral describes it as "partial 16S ribosomal RNA". It matches the Rfam family "Bacterial small subunit ribosomal RNA", at positions 338 to 795 of the family's 1533-position model. The record is from RNAcentral.